This 584-nucleotide ribosomal RNA is filed under the name uncultured Glomus. RNAcentral's name for it is "eukaryotic LSU rRNA". It matches the Rfam family "Eukaryotic large subunit ribosomal RNA", at positions 204 to 637 of the family's 3401-position model. The record is from RNAcentral. Lineage: Eukaryota; Fungi; Glomeromycota; Glomeromycetes; Glomerales; Glomeraceae.
CAUGGAGGGUGAGAAUCCCGUCCGGCCAACUUUUUGACGCUUUACGAUACACUUUCAAAGAGUCGAGUUGUUUGGGAUUGCAGCUCAAAAUGGGAGGUAAAUUUCUCCUAAGGCUAAAUAUUGGCGAGAGACCGAUAGCGAACAAGUACCGUGAGGGAAAGAUGAAAAGAACUUUGAAAAGAGAGUAAAAUAGUACGUGAAAUUGUUGAAAGGGAAACGAUUGAAGUCAGUCGUACCGACGAUAAAUCAGCUCCUCGAGUGCGGACUUGUGGGCGUGCGUGAGCUUUAAAACCUCGCUGUUUGCAACGUUUGUACUUUUUGGGUGUACUUUUUCGUAUGGUAGGCCAACGUCAGUUUCGAUUACCAUAAAAUGACCGGAGGAAUGUAGCUUCGAUCUCGUAUUGAGGUGUUAUAGCCACUGGUAGAUGUGGUGAUUGAAACUGAGGAUUGCAACGAAUACCCUUUGGGCUAUCCGUCUGAUCUCUGAAAGUUGCUUAGGUGCCGAAAGCGUGCUUACGGUUAUUUAAGUUGACGGUCAAUAGGUUAGAACGUGAUUACAUUCGUUAAGGAUGUUGACGUAAUGG